UUAUAAGUCUCAUUAUAUAUGACUUCCCUUUUCACACUUCAGAUUUCAGACAAAUUAGCUUCUCUGUUCUUCACACAAGUCAAUUCCUGUAUCAUCUCCUGGAAUCUAUCAUCUUUGUCUGGAAUGUACUACCUCCUCACCUCAGAGAAUACAUAUUCCUUUAAGAUUCAGCUAAAUCCUUUCAAGAAUGGAAUAACUACAUUAAAGAAAGUUGACUAUUCAAAGAGAUGAAGCAUUCCAUAGUUAUGGAUUGAAGAAAAUAUUUUUCACCAGCUUUACAUAUUCUGUUCCAAGAUCCAAUUUGUUCUCAGAUGUCUCUAUGUGCAACUACUAACUCUAAAACUUCUAUGUAUAGCACAUGAACAUAGAGAAAGUAUUAUUUACAUGAGAUUGUAUUCUCUUAAAACUCAAAACCUGGUGUUGUUCAUACUGUUAGAAAGGAAUUGUUGGCUGAAAAACAAAAAUAGCUGAAACUAUUUUUGACACCCAUUGAUCAUCAACAGAUAUAUGAGAACAAAUGAACAUAUUUUGGAUGCAGUACAUGUUUUGAUAGCUAAAAUUUCUCCAGUUGGUUCAUGUUGUCAGUGAUGUAGAUACUACAAUAUAGAUCAUGACCAGUUCCUUCUCAGAAGUUUACCACAAGUGUCUGCCUAUAGCAUGCAUCUUUGUUUUCUCUUAAUGACAUUAUGGUAGAAGUGUCACACUUGGGCUGUCAACCCCUUUUACUUUGCUCUUACCAUGUGACUUGUCCAUACUUUUAUUGUUCCUAUAUUUUCCUGAGGACAUGCUUUGUUCCACCUACAUUUUGAAGUUCAUAGUUUUUCAAUAUAUUAUAGCCUGCUCCUGAAAAAAAAAAAAACUUCUCCUCCCUAUUAUGCAGUAUAUAAUAUUCAUUUUAAUUCUUUAUUUUUCAUUUUAUUUACUUACUAUAUAUCCAUUUAUUAGUUGUAUUUUCCAAUUUCAUUUCUAUACAUGACUGAACUAAAAAAAAAAAGAAAAUCAACCAUUAGACAAAAAUGUACAGUACCGGGAAACAAAUUCUUCAUUUCUCAUCUUCAGGAAUACAUAUCUUUUUUUUUCAUUAUGUCUUUCAUCUCUUUGAAAGGAACUGGGUAGCAUGCUUCAUCUUCAGUCUUCUGAUAUCAUAACAUUCUAUUAAAUUCACAAUAUUUUUUCUUUUUUUUUAAAGAUUGUAAUUAUUGUAUAGAUUGCUUUCCUACCUCUACUUCCUCUAAUCUGCAAUGGCUAAAGAUAUGUUCAAGGUUUUGUUUGAAACUUUCCAUUACAUUACUUCCUAUAAUACAAUAUUAGUUCAUUACUUUCUUUUUCCACAAUUUGGUAAUUUACUAAAAAUCCUUGAGUUUCCAAUUUGAGAUUACUUUCAAAAGAAUUGCUAUGGAUAUUUUGACCAAAAAAAAGGGUCUUUUUUCCCCUUUCUUUCAUCUCUUGGGACAAUAGGCAUAGUGAUAAUACUGAUUCAAAGAAUAUAGACAAUUUACUUUUUCAUCAUAUUUCCAAAAUUCUUUGUAGACUAUCUAGAUCAAUUCACAGACACUACAAUACUGUAGUACUAUGUCUAUUCACACACACACACACACACACACACACACACACCUUUUCAUUUUUGGUCAGUUUUCUCUUUUAUAUUUGCAAAUCUGGUGAUUGGGGGAUGAUAGUAUCUUAGAGUUGUUCUACUUUACAUUCCUGAACAUUUUUUUCAUAUGGUUAGAUAGAUAGAUAGCUUACAUUUAUUCUUUAGACAAGUCCCUAUUCAUUUAAAAUGGUUCUUACUCUUAUAAUUUUGAAUGUUAUUUUAUAUAUCUUGCAUAUGAGAUAAUAAAUGGGUUCUUUGGGGUUCA
Molecule: long non-coding RNA, 1859 nt
Organism: Monodelphis domestica (gray short-tailed opossum)
Lineage: Eukaryota; Metazoa; Chordata; Mammalia; Didelphimorphia; Didelphidae
Source: Ensembl